AGGAAAUUACUGUCUUAGAUCUGUACCUCAAUCUUAAAAAGCACAGAUGCAACCUAAGGUCCUCAUUUUUUCUGGGCUACUCUAUCCCAGGAGCCUCUGAGGAAGAGUCUAACGGUGAGGUUUUAGCAUCCCACAGAACAGAGUAACUUAAUAGUAUAACCUUCUUGGAUCAGAUCUAGAGGCAGGCUGGGGCGGAGGUGACCCCUGAGGAGCCGUGAUGGUGAACUGACGUAAAGCAGACACUGGCUGGAUACAGCAGCUGCAGAGGCCUGACUCUGAGCUCAGGAACAACUGACAUGCCGCGCUGCUUGCGUGGCCCUGGUUGUCGGAGAGAAAUUGGAGGUCCUGGUAAGUAGAAGAAAAUACGAAGUUGCUGUUUCUACUGGGAUAAGGUUUCAGUACAGUCAGCUACCAGAGCCUCCACUUUAUCAUCUCUACAUUAAAUGAGAAGGGAAGAGGAUGUGAAAGGACUAAAAUAGGCAAGGACACCAGUAGAGCGCACCGUUGGGCAUUGGGUAGACUCCCCUUGGCCCUGGGAACCCCCUGUUGCUUCCUCCUCCUGCUCUGUCUUGGGAAAGCAGGCUUUUUGCUCUCUGUCUCUCCGAAACCCCGUCAGUAGCCUUUUUGGAUGGCGGUCACGUCACUGCCUCAUUAUCCCAGAUUAAAUUUCUACUGUGUUGGGAUAUCUUAGCUUUUUACAAAGCAAAAACUACGACAUGCUGCCUGUGCCAGAACUAUUAAUUCUACAUGGAUGCAGUGAAAGUCCUUCUUCCACGUGAAGGCUUUAUCUUUGCUGUUGGUUUACUCCUGUUUCCUUUUUCCCCUGCAGCCUUCUCUGAUUCAGUUCUGGAAUUCUAGAUGGUUAUUGCCAAGCAGAGAACCCAUAAGCUAUGUGAGAUUUAUACUAAAUAGGUAUAUCACAUACAGUUCCUGAAGAAAAAAUAAGGAAAGGCCAUAUUUUCAAAUAUAUGACAGUGUGAUCUCAUACACUGCAGUCAGAUUACUCCAAUUUACAGACACUGAAGGCUUAGACUAGCUUACAAAUAAUGAGAAAAGCAGAUAAACUAAUAACGGUUUGAUUUAAAGAGUGUUUUAAGGCCCAAGGAUUGAGUGAGUUCAAAUACUAGUAUAAGGCUUAACUGAGAAAGAGACCUAUAUGGUUGAUGACAUUAGUUUAUAUUUGACAUUAUGAAUUAAUAUGAAUUACAUUAAUACAUAUCACAAUAUGACAGCACAUGCCUUCAAGUUAAUGUAUGAUUUGGCACGAAAGUACAAUUUCAUAGCUACUCAUAUAUAUUAAAACCAGGUGAAACCUCUGACAUAUGCAGCUGUAUUCCUUUUUUUUGUUAAGUUUAUACUUCUUAAUGAGAUUACUUUUCCUGGUUUAUGAAAUCUAUUGCCAUAACAUGGUCAUUUAAUUCUUGUCCUGUAAUUGUAAUGGAUCGUUAUUGCUGCUGAUUUACAAUAUAUUAUCCUUUUACUAGCAGAUUUAAUCAUAGGAGCUCUAUUUCCCUCUAAGCUUUAUUAGAAUAUUGGAGACAAAACUCUGCCACAUAUAUUGUUCAGCAGAUAACUGAGUAUUUUCCAGUAAAGAAAAAAGUUCCUGAAAAUCAACCAAA
RNAcentral lists this long non-coding RNA (1619 nucleotides) under Struthio camelus australis. Its description in RNAcentral is "lncRNA (ENSSCUG00000012689.1)". The record is from RNAcentral. Lineage: Eukaryota; Metazoa; Chordata; Aves; Struthioniformes; Struthionidae.